GGAGGAUAAGCGAAUGGCUAGCAGGUUGAUUCGAAAUCAAUUGCCGGGUAACCGGUUGCGGGUUCGAGUCCCGUGUCCUCCG
Molecule: transfer RNA, 82 nt
Filed under: Pirellulaceae bacterium
Lineage: Bacteria; Pseudomonadati; Planctomycetota; Planctomycetia; Pirellulales; Pirellulaceae
Description: tRNA-Ser
Rfam family: tRNA
About the family: Transfer RNA (tRNA) molecules are approximately 80 nucleotides in length.
Source: RNAcentral